This 500-nucleotide ribosomal RNA is filed under the name uncultured bacterium. RNAcentral's name for it is "bacterial SSU rRNA". It matches the Rfam family "Bacterial small subunit ribosomal RNA", at positions 28 to 514 of the family's 1533-position model. The record is from RNAcentral.
GAUGAACGCUAGCUACAGGCUUAACACAUGCAAGUCGAGGGGAAACGACAUCGAAAGCUUGCUUUUGAUGGGCGUCGACCGGCGCACGGGUGAGUAACGCGUAUCCAACCUGCCCACCACUUGGGGAUAACCUUGCGAAAGUAAGACUAAUACCCAAUGAUAUCUCUAGAAGGCAUCUGAAGGAGAUUAAAGAUUUAUCGGCAAUGGAUGGGGAUGCGUCCGAUUAGCUUGUUGGCGGGGUAACGGCCCACCAAGGCAACGAUCGGUAGGGGUUCUGAGAGGAACGGUCCCCCACAUUGGAACUGAGACACGGUCCAAACUCCUACGGGAGGCAGCAGUGAGGAAUAUUGGUCAAUGGGCGAGAGCCUGAACCAGCCAAGUAGCGUGCAGGAUGACGGCCCUAUGGGUUGUAAACUGCUUUUAUGCGGGGAUAAAGUGGGCCACGCGUGGCCUUUUGCAGGUACCGCAUGAAUAAGGACCGGCUAAUUCCGUGCCAGCAG